CUGACGCUGAGGAGCGAAAGCAUGGGGAGCGAACAGGAUUAGAUACCCUGGUAGUCCAUGCCGUAAACGUUGGGCACUAGGUGUGGGGGACAUUCCACGUUUUCCGCGCCGUAGCUAACGCAUUAAGUGCCCCGCCUGGGGAGUACGGCCGCAAGGCUAAAACUCAAAGGAAUUGACGGGGGCCCGCACAAGCGGUGGAGUAUGUGGCUCAAUUCGAUGCAACGCGAAGAACCUUACCUGGCCUUGACAUGCAUUAGACCGCACCUGAAAGGGUGCUUUCCUUCGGGACUGGUGCACAGGUGCUGCAUGGCUGUCGUCAGCUCGUGUCGUGAGAUGUUGCGUUAAGUCGCGCAACGAGCGCAACCCCUGUCCUUAGUUGCCAUCAUUAAGUUGGGCACUCUAGGGAGACAAACCCUCUUUGAGGGUGGGAAGGUGGGGAUGACGUCAAGUCAGGAUGGCCCUUACGGCCAGGGCUGCACACGUACUACAAUGCCCGGUACAGAGGGAAGCAAUACCGCGAGGUGGAGCAAAUCCUGAAAACCGGGCCCAGUUCAGAUUGUAGUCUGCAACUCGACUACAUGAAGUUGGAAUCGCUAGUAAUGGCGCAUCAGCUACGGCGCCGUGAAUACGUUCCCGGGCCUUGUACACACCGCCCGUCACGUCAUGA
This 667-nucleotide ribosomal RNA is filed under the name uncultured bacterium. RNAcentral describes it as "bacterial SSU rRNA". It matches the Rfam family "Bacterial small subunit ribosomal RNA", at positions 740 to 1407 of the family's 1533-position model. The record is from RNAcentral.